Podarcis lilfordi (Lilford's wall lizard) is the source of this 247-nucleotide non-coding RNA. Lineage: Eukaryota; Metazoa; Chordata; Lepidosauria; Squamata; Lacertidae. The record is from the annotation of a GenBank genome assembly.
CGCCGCCAGAGCACAAUUUCUGUUCUCAUCCUGAAGCAAAGUUCUUAACCCAAGGUACUAUUUCUGGGUUAGCAGAGUCUGUAACCUGAAGCGUAUGUAACCUGAGGUACCACUGUAUAUCCAAGGAACUGCAUUCUGUGAUCAGAUCACAUUGUAAAGAUAGGACCAGAGGGAAAUCUCUCAUGGGAGCUUUUGGUAAUCAAGUGGGUUCUCCUUUUCUCUCUGCCCUGGCCCUUUUCCUUCCAGG